This is a long non-coding RNA of Magnolia sinica, 1367 nucleotides long. RefSeq lists it as uncharacterized. NCBI's taxonomy places the organism in Eukaryota, Viridiplantae, Streptophyta, Magnoliopsida, Magnoliales, Magnoliaceae. The record is from RefSeq and is a predicted model, not a curated record. The transcript has 3 exons.
UUUGCUCUUGCAAUUUGAACCACUCACUAUAUCAUUUUUAUCCAUCCAUUAAGAUAACCACCAUUUGGUUAGUUAGGAUUGAUUUAUCAUUUUGAUUUCCAACAUGCACCUUUCAAGAUGUGCCUUACAAUUUGAAUGGUCUAAAAAGCUAUACUUGUGUGCCAUGUGAGGAGUAACUGCCAAUUUCAGAAUGGUAACAACUCUUCCAACAGAACAUGGAAAAGUUAUAUGACAAUCUUGAUUGUACAAAUAACUUAACCGAUUGUGCUUUGAGCAUAAAACAGAAUUUCACCAACCACAUGAAAUUAAUCAUUUGAUUUAGCCUUGGAAUUUGAACCAUUCACUGUUAACUAUCCAUUUGAUAACCAUCAAUCAAAUGAUGAUUAUCUUUGAUUUAUUAAUGUGAAUUUUAAAAUGAUAAAUAGCCAUGCAUGAGUGCCACAUUUGAGCAAGAUGACUCACUAAACUACCAUUUUCAAGAUGUUUGUGAGCUCUGACAUGUAUGAUGACUCCUUUGAUAGUUAACUACAAUUUUAAGAAAAUGGUGGUAACUCUUCCAACAUACACAUGUCACGGUUAUAUGACAAUCCAGGCUAUCCAAUUGCUUGCCCAAUUGUGUUCGGAGCAUAAAGUUACAUAGGUAACCACAUAUCCGGGCCAUCCUAAUUGCUGGCCCAACUGAUAUUUCAAUUUGGCCCUUUGGAAUUUGAGCCAAUCGCUGUUUGACUUUUAACCGUCAAAUGGAUGGUUAGGAUUGGUUGAUUAGUGGGAAUUUCGUCAUAUGGUCCAUUCACUAGGCCCUAAACAGGCCUUCAAUGUAGGAGGAACUGUUCCUAAAUCAUUGAAAUCUAUAAAAGAAACCGUGAUAUCCAUGCUUCAGCUUAAAUCAGAAACAGCUGGGGCUGAAAAUCAAAACAGGGAUUUUCUUCAUCAUUGGCGUGGUGCUAAAUGCAACUGCCCAGGACCUUGCCAUGCUCAUUAUAGGAAGGAUAUUCUUGAGGUGUAGAGUCGGCUUCGCUAAUCAGCCUCAUAGAGCGUGGCCACCUCGAAAAGGGAAGACAGUGCUCAAGAAGAUUCAUGGAACCAACAACGUUGAGCCUGAGUUCCUGGAGCUUGUGGAGGCAAGCCGUGUGGCCAAGGAAGUAAAGCACCCAUUCAGGAACCUCCUCAAGCGACGCAGCCGCCCACAGCUGAUUAUUGAUAUGGUCAUGCAGGAAGGAUGUGGUGUCACUGCCGAAUGGUUUAUCUGCCCAUGUCGUACUUGUAUGGGAAGAGGUUUGUUGGUCUAAUCACACCAUUAAUUUUGUCAUUAAGAAAGGAGCUCUACAUGACCUCGUAUCAACAAGUAGAUUAGAAUCAAGUCCGUA